RNAcentral lists this ribosomal RNA (273 nucleotides) under uncultured bacterium. RNAcentral's name for it is "partial 16S ribosomal RNA". It matches the Rfam family "Bacterial small subunit ribosomal RNA", at positions 524 to 796 of the family's 1533-position model. The record is from RNAcentral.
UACGAAGGGUGCAAGCGUUACUCGGAAUCACUGGGCGUAAAGCGUGCGUAGGCGGUUGGUUAAGUCUGCUGUGAAAGCCCUGGGCUCAACCUGGGAACUGCAGUGGAUACUGGCCAGCUAGAGUGUGAUAGAGGAUGGUGGAAUUCCCGGUGUAGCGGUGAAAUGCGUAGAGAUCGGGAGGAACACCAGUGGCGAAGGCGGCCAUCUGGAUCAACACUGACGCUGAGGCACGAAAGCGUGGGGAGCAAACAGGAUUAGAUACCCCCGUAGUCC